GCUUGCUUCAGCAAGCACAUAUUAAAAACUGGAAUGAAACAGAAGAUUAGCAUGGCCUCUGCGCAAGGAUGACACGCAAUUUGUGAAGCGCUCUAUUUUUUU
Small nuclear RNA from Rhinopithecus bieti (black snub-nosed monkey), 102 nucleotides. The record is from Ensembl. NCBI's taxonomy places the organism in Eukaryota, Metazoa, Chordata, Mammalia, Primates, Cercopithecidae.